GAACGCACCUUGCGCUCCUUGGUAUUCCGAGGAGCAUGCCUGUUUGAGUGUCAUUAAAUUCUCAACCAUUAUCAACUUUUGCUGAUACUGGCUUGGAUGUGGGGGUCUAUUUUGCUGGCUUCUCAGAUAGUCAGCUCCCCUUAAAUGCAUUAGCCGGUGCCCCGCGUGGACUGUCUAUUGGUGUGAUAAUUAUCUACGCUAUGGACAUCUGCAAUCAUAUGGGUGUGCACUGCUUCCAGCAGUCUGUUAAAGACAAUACAUGACAAUUUGACCUCAAAUCAGGUAGGAUUACCCGCUGAACUUA
Molecule: unclassified non-coding RNA, 304 nt
Filed under: uncultured Hebeloma
Lineage: Eukaryota; Fungi; Basidiomycota; Agaricomycetes; Agaricales; Cortinariaceae
Description: sequence contains 5.8S rRNA gene
Rfam family: 5.8S ribosomal RNA (bases 1-53)
Source: RNAcentral